CUGACAUUUAGUAGCCCGAUGAGACCUCCCAAGAUUCUGACCACUAUUUCUCUGCUGCCUUCUUCCAAAUCAUUCCAUCAUAUAUGAAGCUGGAGGGGGACAUCGCUAAAGACAGCGAAAGGUUUGUUUUCAUUUGUGCUCAUCCUGCACAUUUAUUACGGUGAUUAAACAAAAAGUAAAAUCUAUUUGACUCAAAACAAAACUGAAUAUUUUCAUGUUUUUCAAAUUAAAAUGAAAAGACCCAAUUUCUCGAUCACGGCCUUUCAGCACUUCGGGGGACGAAGAUUUUAAGGCUGUGUGGAUCCACCAGUCAAAAAUCCAAAAAAUUACCAAAGGGGCUCAUGCAAAAUUAGCCUUCCGGUGCCCCUUUUGGGAACAUUCGGCAGUUUUUGACAAGAAUGACGUCACCUGACUUAUUCAUGCCAAAAUUAAAACUUAGAUAUUAUUUGGAUAUUUUUGCAAAGAGGAUGUUGGACCCGAUGAGGGUUACCUACGUAUCUCACGCCCUGUGCGAAUCAAACCUCCGUAGUUCGGGAAAAUUAACCAAACAAUUUUAAAACAUAAUUCUUUUCAUUUUCAUUUUUGGCAUUUGAAAUUUAAAAAAAAACUACUUUUAAAAAACAAGACUCUUUUUUCUUUUCUUUUUCAACAAACAAUAAACAACCUAUUUUUUCAAAACUAAAAAAACUCUUUUUCUUUUCCUUUUUCAACAAUCACGAAAACAACCUAUUUUUUUCCAUUGGAAACCAAAAAUCGAGACUCUUUUUUUUUCAUUUCCCAUGACAAAACAAACUAUUUUUUCUUUUUUAUUUUUGAAAAAAAAGACAAACUAAAAUAAAAGACUCUUUUUCACUUCUUUUUUUUUUUUUUUUGCUUUUCUGGGUAAAACAAACAAUUUAAACAUAAAAUAUUUUAUUUUCUAUUUUUCAAAAUUUUGGCAGAGUUUCGACAUUAUUUGGGCAUUGGUUUUUUCUCUCCCUAUACUGAUAUUUCUCUCUUUUUCUCUUUUUCUCAAUUUUUCAAUAUUUCCGAGAUUCAGAAGGCGGUCAACAUGCAGGUCUGAAACAAAUAAAUGCACAGAAAACACGUAGGAUGCAUUAGGAUGGUCUUUUUUCAUUUCAGGUUGCUUCUCCUAGACGGACCCAACACAUGUGUUGAGUCCCCUAAGUUAAAAUGCACAUGAUGCAGAUAAGCGUUCCUACGAGGGAUCCAGCAUGAAGUUGUAUUAUUCUAGGUCAUAACUUGGGUGUUUGUUCUAGAUCUGGCUCACCCGAGCGGACAGCUCGAGCCGGGGGGGAGGUAGCGUACUGGGAAUACUGAAGCUUCAUCGGCUUUGCAACUUAUCUAAAUCUAGUUCUAAAUUGGAAAUUAAACACUAUACAGAAAAUAAGUCACACGAAGUGUACCCUUAUUCAUGAUUUAGAAGACUCAGAGAGGAGAUGGGUUUGGGCACAGUUUAUAUACAGUUCACAUAAUAUCAAAGCAGUAAAAGCAGUCAAUUAGCACAGAUCAUGUAACAAAAUCAGAUAACGCCAAACACAACAAUUAUUCUAAACUCGAAUUCUGAACCCUAAACAAAACGUUCUGGGUUCUUUUCCCCAGCAGAGUCGCCAGAGCUGUCACACCUCCUUUUUUACUGCACCCGCAAAGGCGUAAAGGAGUUUUUCCAAUUAAAGAACAAUCUGAAUGGGAUUUACUUCUUAAAGUUUGAAGUCUCCACUUGGUAUAUUAAUGGUGUCCCAAGUCACCGGUUUAGAAUCCCGAACCAAGGAACAUAUGACUCUGUUAACAGUCCGCGAAUCAGAAAUCCAAGUAAGGAAUUGUGUUAACUCGGGAGAAGGUGUUAGGCAUUCCCGAGUUCCAUGGUUCUAGCACGGUCGCUCAACUGUCGUAUUAAGCUUAUUUAUCUGAUUUUAUUACAUGAAGAACUUAUGUGCCAAUUUUUACUUUUUACCGCUUUUUUCGAUUUGUAUUUUUAAAAAAAAGGUUGAAGGUCAAUUAAAGCGUGCCUUCGGACUGCGUCACAUAAAAUGCACCUACAGUACUAAGCACAGUAUAUUCAACAUUUUGGGAUUUGAUUUAAGUCGUAUGAAAUGCACACCCGUAUUUAAGAAUGUAAUCUAUUAAAAUCGUGCCUAAAGAGUCUAACUCGUUAUUAUUUUGGGGAAGUCUGUGAAAUUCGCUAGACGGCCCAUCCCGAAUUUAUAAGUAUUUUUAGUUCAAACAUGUAUUGAGGCCCCCCCAAUUUGUAGUUUUAUUUGGCGAGACUCGUCUCAUUUUGUUUUAAAGCCGACCUAAAAGCAACUAUAAUUAUUUACUUAAUUGUCUUUAAAAUAAAACGAAAAGGCCCUAAUUAAAUUGUUAUAGAAAAGCUUCAGUCUGUUGUGCACAUAUUAACCAAUCAUGUGUUAUUUUAGACUUGGGCUCAAAAGCACAAUCUGCAUGGAGCAUUCACGUUGAAUUAAAAAUAUCAACCACAGCAGGAAAUGGGGCUGAAGCAAGCCCAAUUUGGAUGGGGCAGAACAAGCCUCGUAUGUGAGGCCCAGGGAUCGAAUCCCUGACUUGGCAAAUCACAACCUCAACAUAUUAUUUCAGCUGAAUCCAAAUCAAACACCCACUGAACUAGUACCUUAUUUUACUCAAAUGAAAGAGUCAUGGUUUGAGGCUGAAAUUGUUUUAACUAUUAACUACUGAUUUAUUUUAAAAUACUACUGAAAGUGAAAAGUCAGUAAAAAUACAACCUAAAUUUUUAAUGAAGAUUCACCAUUUUAUUAAUGAACUCAGUGAACCCUAAAUGCUAAAAACAAUAACUAAACUUGUUUAAAACUAUAUUAAGGCUAUAAGCAUGCUUAAUCAACCCAAUACAGUCUAGUUCGAAUUUAAUAGGAAUUCAAAAUAUAAUAUUCUAAUAAAAUGAACUAACACAAGUCAAAGCAAACUACUAAUCACAAGAUCCGCAUAGGAAAACCUUUAAUGAUUUAACAGUCCAUGUACUUAAGCAAUCCACACUUAAUACAGUCUAUGAACAAACUAACACAUUACAGAAUUCUAUCUAAACAUGAUCAAGCCACUAAAAUCGCAAGACGACAGUAGAAGUUCAGUUUCGAUUUCAUUUCAGGAGAUUUACAUAGUAAUGAGUUUGACGGCAAGUACCUGGAAUUUGAAAAAAUAAGAAGGAGAGUGAGGUCAAGCAAAUGAUGACAAACAGCAACGAUUCAGAGAUGAUUCAACAGCCCAAAACUGAACCCUAAACUCCAGGAAUAAUCACGAACCAAAUAGAAAAAUGGAGAUUGCCCACAGAACACUUGAACGCACCCAAAUCAACUCAAAAUUGAACUCAAGUACUUCUAAAUGCUUCAAUAAACCCAAAACUCAGCAUGAAACUAUGAGAUGUGAAGAAAACUAACUAGAAAUCAGUGUUAGAUCUACAACUUCUCAAUGAAACUGUAAAUAUUUUGUGAUUUUUAGUUUUUGUUUGUUUUAGGAUUUUGAAAUUUUCAGUGGCUACUUCAGAUCUAGAAAGGUAAGGAGAGGGAAUUUUUGGGGAGGCUAUA
This 3554-nucleotide long non-coding RNA is filed under the name Nicotiana benthamiana. RNAcentral describes it as "long non-coding RNA (NBEN_LNC015234)". Lineage: Eukaryota; Viridiplantae; Streptophyta; Magnoliopsida; Solanales; Solanaceae. The record is from RNAcentral.